CAGCCGCCGCGGUAAGACCGGCAGCACGAGUGAUGACCGCUAUUAUUGGGCCUAAAGCGUCCGUAGCUGGCCACGCAAGUCCGUCGGGAAAUCCGCGCGCUUAACGCGCGGGCGUCCGGUGGAAACUGUGUGGCUUGGGACCGGAAGAUCCAGAGGGUACGUCCGGGGUAGGAGUGAAAUCCCGUAAUCCUGGACGGACCACCGGUGGCGAAAGCGCUCUGGAAAGACGGAUCCGACGGUGAGGGACGAAAGCUCGGGUCACGAACCGGAUUAGAUACCCCCGUAGUCCCUGUCUCUUAUU
RNAcentral lists this ribosomal RNA (301 nucleotides) under uncultured bacterium. RNAcentral describes it as "partial 16S ribosomal RNA". It matches the Rfam family "Archaeal small subunit ribosomal RNA", at positions 459 to 759 of the family's 1478-position model. The record is from RNAcentral.